UUGAAAGGGAAACGAUUGAAGUCAGUCGUACCGGCGGGUAAUCAGCCUUUUGGGUGUGAUUAUGUGGAGCGUGAGGAGUUUAACCCCCUUCUUCUUUGCAUUUUCGGGCCCUUUGGGGGUAUUUGCUCUGGGGAAAUGAAAAUCUCUUUUUUGGUCAUCAAAAAGGGUUUGGGAGAAUGGCUCUUCCCUUUUGUUUUGAAGUGUUAUCCCCUUCGGUAUAUGUGGUGAGCGAUAUAGAAGAUUGCCACAAACCCCUUUCGGGGCUACCUGUAAGAUCUCUGAAAGUUGCUGUGGUGCAAAAAUUUUGCUUAUGUUAUCAAAGUUGACGUUCAGGAUGUAAAAAGGGUAUAUAUUCUUUAGAGGUGU
This 366-nucleotide ribosomal RNA is filed under the name uncultured Glomeromycotina. Its description in RNAcentral is "eukaryotic LSU rRNA". Lineage: Eukaryota; Fungi; Glomeromycota. The record is from RNAcentral.